CAAUUAACGCAAGUAAUCCUAAUUCUAGCACAAGCAAUGGUUACCCCUUCAUGGUAACCCCAAAACCUAACGAUCACUCUACACGAUGAUCUUGCUAUUGCUGAAUUUAAAUGGAUUAAGCCAAUUUAUCAGAGCGGACCUAUCUGAUCCGUAGAGUGGAGAAAAACGAGCUUGCUGUUGAAUUUCAGUCGGCGUCACACCAGGGGCAAAAUCGUCCACCUUUUUCUGUGUAACCUGAAACACAAAACAAAGUAUAUCACCGCGUUCAGGAGAUCGAAACAAGUAAGUUACCUGAAGACAGCUUCGCCGGACAGCCGCUCACGUGCCGCCAAUGCGCCGUCGCCGCCGCCCACUCGCCGCCUCACCAGGGGUGCCUCGACCUGCUGGUAAUGGGUAUGGCCUCCGUUUGUCCAACCAAGCUUUGGUUUGUGAGUAAUUGAAGAAUUUUAGAUUCGGGUUCUAUGUUGAAGAUGCGAAAAUCAGCCGAUUUUGAGCCUUUUUUGCUACCCAAGCUCUGAUACCAGAUGUUAGGAUCUUCCUCAAGCUGCUCAAAGUGAUUUUCGGGCUCAGUUAACCAUUAAACAUCGAAUUCAACACCAAAAACGGGAGGAGGGCCGACCCCCGGGUUGCUUGUAUUCCUAUGGUUGCUAUUUGUCACGGACCGAGUUUUGUUACACCCGAACAACUAGAACCGUGCGGCCUUAACGCUUGAAAAUUCCCGCACCUCACGAGAAAAUGUUAAGUCAGCCUUUUCACGCUCACAAAUAAUUUAACCAAGGAGGCUAAAUUAUACCCACGUUGAGAAGAGAAUUUUGAAGUAAGGGAUAUAUGAAAAACAAGUAAGGUCGAGAAACUUUCUUUGUAUAAAUGAAAGGGAAAACUUUACAAUCUCUCUAAGGAAUAAAU
RNAcentral lists this long non-coding RNA (906 nucleotides) under Olea europaea subsp. europaea. Lineage: Eukaryota; Viridiplantae; Streptophyta; Magnoliopsida; Lamiales; Oleaceae. The record is from RNAcentral.